AUUGAACGCUGGCGGCAGGCUUAACACAUGCAAGUCGAGCGGGGUGAUGGUGCUUGCACUAUCACUUAGCGGCGGACGGGUGAGUAAUGCUUAGGAAUCUGCCUAUUAGUGGGGGACAACAUCUCGAAAGGGAUGCUAAUACCGCAUACGUCCUACGGGGGAAAGCAGGGGAUCACUUGUGACCUUGCGCUAAUAGAUGAGCCUAAGUCGGAUUAGCUAGUUGGUGGGGUAAAGGCCUACCAAGGCGACGAUCUGUAGCGGGUCUGAGAGGAUGAUCCGCCACACUGGGACUGAGACACGGCCCAGACUCCUACGGGAGGUAGCAGUGGGGAAUAUUGGACAAUGGGGGGAACCCUGAUCCAGCCAUGCCGCGUGUGUGAAGAAGGCCUUAUGGUUGUAAAGCACUUUAAGCGAGGAGGAGGCUCUUUUGGUUAAUACCCAAGAUGAGUGGACGUUACUCGCAGAAUAAGCACCGGCUAACUCUGUGCCAGCCGCCGCGGUAA
Molecule: ribosomal RNA, 503 nt
Filed under: uncultured bacterium
Lineage: Bacteria
Description: partial 16S ribosomal RNA
Rfam family: Bacterial small subunit ribosomal RNA
Source: RNAcentral